Molecule: long non-coding RNA, 261 nt
Filed under: Theobroma cacao (cacao)
Lineage: Eukaryota; Viridiplantae; Streptophyta; Magnoliopsida; Malvales; Malvaceae
Description: long non-coding RNA (TCAC_LNC006194)
Source: RNAcentral
GGAGAUGAGUGCCCAUCAGGGCACCGCGACGGUUGUCACAGGCUAGAGGGGAGUUUCGAGUCGUGACAAUUAGAUUGGUAUUAGAGCUUUUGGUUUUAAAGAUUUGAGCUUUUAGGUUUAAAGUUGGUUUAAAGUUGUUUUAAAAGUUGUUUUAAAGUUGUUUUAAAAUUUAUAGUGUCAGUGUGGCCCCAAGUUAAGUUAGGUUAGAUUGAAUUGAACGCGUACAUCUACAUAUAGAAACCUACCUACUCUUGCGAUGCA